Molecule: long non-coding RNA, 20182 nt
Filed under: Populus trichocarpa (black cottonwood)
Lineage: Eukaryota; Viridiplantae; Streptophyta; Magnoliopsida; Malpighiales; Salicaceae
Description: long non-coding RNA (PTRI_LNC000895)
Source: RNAcentral
UCCUCAAACCCUAAACUAAAGUCUCUAUAUAUAGGGAGGAAGGGACAUACUUAACUCAUGAAACCAACCAAAAGUCAAUCAUAGGAUCACUGGCUUAGAAUCUGAACCAACAAAUAGCAUAACAAACACAAAACACCCUAGCUAGCAGGUUAGUACAAGAGCACAAUUGCUCUCUUGUACAAAAUAGUGAAAUUGUCAUUGAAAAACAAAUAUGGCUACCUAGCCUUAUCUCUCUACUCAAAACAUACAAGCCAACUCAAACGACACCAACAAUGUGAGGAACCAACACCAAAAUUUUCCUAAAUGAUGCCUAAAUGGGCAAACCAAUAGAGAUUAUGUUUGAAGGUUUAGGGAGAAAGAGCAGGCAUAUAGUUGAGAUUUAAAGAUGAAAGUGACUAGGGUUUUAGCUCAAUUUCUACGGGUUAAAGGAGACAAAGAACAUUUGGUAAAUAUACUAACUAGGUAAAAUAUCAGCAUUUGGCAUGGUCAAAGUUUGGUCAGGUCCCUAAAUAUGAGUGUUUUUUUCAAGUUAAUACGCUUGAAGUUUUGGUUUUAAAAUCAUGCCUAUAAAUUCAACUGAAUAAUUAAAAUUAUUCAAUUAAGUCCUUGGAUAAAAUUAAAAAUAACCUCUUAAUUUCUUUAUUUUUCAAAAGGGCCCUUAGAUUUUAAAAUUCUCCUUAAUUAAAGUUAACAAUAGUUAUAAAAAAUUCAAUUAAGUCCUUGAUUGAAUUAAUAGAACCUCACAAGCUAUGCCUAGUUGCCAAUUUUAGUCCUUAGUUCUUUAAUUCCUAUAAUUGUAACUCAAUUCAAUUACAUCAUUAAAAAAAUUAUUUUGUUGAAUCGAAAAUCUGAGAAAGUUUUGUCUAGUCAACCUCAAAUAUAGUUUUGGAUUUUUUUUAUUUUUAAUGUUUUUUAAAGUAUUUUUGGAUUUUAAAAAAAAAUUAAUUGAGAGGUAAAAACUAAGUUAUAACAUUUGUGAUUUGCUAUUUUGAUUUUAACCAUAGUUGUGAUUUGCUAAGUUAUAACAUUAGGUCGUCUAGUCAAUCAUUUUGUUUAAAACAUCAUUUUAGUUUUUUUUAAUUCAUUGAAGUUUACCUAUCAUAUGUCAUCCAGGUUUGUCUCGAUUAAUUGGAUCAUUGGUCAACUUAUGGGUCACCCAGGUUUAGCCAGGUCAAUGUCCAAAAUAGUUCGAAGUGAAACCCCACUCAGGUCACCGGGUCAUCAAAUGAGGGGGUAAACUAAGUUUAAUAAUUAUGAUUUUAACCAAAUGGUUAUAACAUAUGAAAAUAGCUAGGACUAAUUAGUUGAACAAAAAUAUAUAAGUUGUAUGAGAUUUAAGAAAAUGAAAUCAGGGAUGGACUUAUGAAACACAUAAUAAGUUAGGGUGUCAAUUAGUAUCUACCCAAAAACAAAAUUAAGGAAAAAACUUAGGAGUCAUUUGAUUAUCAUUCCAAUAGAAAAAUCAAAAUGAAAAUUAAAGAAUCAAAAUAAUAAUUGAUUUCAAUAUCGUGUUUGGAAUAGUUAAAAAGAAUUAAAAUGAAAUUUUAAAAUAUUUAAUACCUUUGUUUUUAAGAUAGAAAGGAAUAAUGAUUAAAAUAAAUGAUUCAUCAAUAGUGUGAUAGCUCAAAUUAUAGAAGUGAUUGUGAUGAUGAAGAGGGAGGUGGUGGUGAAGAAGAAUUAGAAAUAAUCGAUAGAGGUAGUGAUAAUAUUAUAGUAAUAACAACAAUAUUUAAAAAAAAGUUCAUGUCAUCAUCACAAGAGGUGGCAAUAAAAGAAGAAGAGUGGUGGUGGAGAAAAAAAUAAGUGGUGAAUGUAAUGGAAGAGUGGUUGUGUAAUAAUAAUAAUUUAUUUUAAAAUAUCAUAAUCAGCUAUCACUAUUAUGAUAAUGGUUAAGGUAUUGGUGAUAGUGGUUAAAUUAGUUGAGUAGAAUUAAUAUCUUGUUCUUAAAAAAAAAAAACAAAAUCAUUCUUAUUUCCUAGUUUUAUUCUCACCACUAUCAUUAGAAUGGAAGUUUUGUUUUCAUUCCUCCAAUUUCAUUCCUUAUUACUAAACAACAUCUUAAUGGUUUUAAAAUACUUUAUGUUGAAACUCUAAGAAAGGUUGAGUGAAAUAUCCGAGAAGAAUGGAGGACUUCUCCUUACUCAAACCAUUUUAAAGCUCUCAUUGAACAAAUAAGAAAAAUAAAAGAGUUUACAAUUUUUUGUUACAAAAAAAAUAAAACAAUCUAUAAGAAAUAAUAUUGUCAAACUAAUGAAUUUGUAAUUUAGCAACAUGUCCUCCUCGCUUAAUAGGUUGGGUCCAAGCUUUCUUAUUCCAACCGGAAAAAAAUAUAACUAAUCUUAAGAAGUGUUUUAUCCCCUCUCCUCUUGUCAAUAGUCAUAACUUCUCAUUUCAUAUUAAAAUUAGAUAGAGUUUAAGAUAAAAAUUUUGUGAUAGUGAUUUAGCACAAGAAACAUAUUAUUUUCUUCAAUCUUCAUUUUCUUUUACCUUUUAUGAAAUACAAAUUUAUUAGAAGCUAAUAAAUUUUUGUGAUAGUGAUUUAGCACAAGAAACAUAUUAUAAAAAUUCAUCUAAGGUGCGUUGCUCCAUCUUUUGCAUUAUGAUCGUGUUGUUUUGUUUCUAUUGGUACAAUAAAAAGCAACUCCUAAUCAUUUUCAUAACCCAAUUUUUAAUUCUCUUUGAAAAAAGAAAAAGAUUUGCACCAAAAUAUUUUACAGAAAAAAAUUGACAGACUAUUGAAAAAAAAUAAUUGUUGAAAAUGAUCAAAAUACAAAAAGAUUUAGAAAAAUAAAAGAAAGAAAAAAAUACAAUUAGGGAUAAAAUCAGACAAAUAAUGAAUUUCUAAAACGAAUUGAGAUAGAUAAGUACAAAAAAAAGUCAAUAGUACUUUUGAGGGACAAUUAGAGGCUUAAUUGAAGAAAACAUUUAAAAUUGAUAGUCAAAUUGACUGAAAAUAAAUAAAAAAAUUAAAUGAUCAAGGACCAAAAUAGAAAAGUCACUGAAAUUUGAAGGUCUUAUUAAUUCAAUCAGGGACUUAAUUGAAGAGAAAGAUUAUAAUUUCGAGUCAAUUUAACCAAAAAUAAAAAAAUUAAAGGACUGGUGAUCAAAAUGGGAAAAUUGUUGAAAUUUAGUGGUCCUAUUAAUUUAAUCAUCGGUGUAAUUGAAGAGAAGAAAUGAGAUUGAGGGCAAAAUUGACUAAAACACUUAAAUUAAAAAGCAAAUUGAAAAAGGUGCCAAAAUUGAAAGGCCAUUUUUAAUACAAUUAAAGGAGAAACUGUGAAGAAGUUGAGAGAAAAAUGAUGAAAUUGGUUAAAUUUAAAAAUUGAAAAGCUAAGAAUUGAAUUGUAAAAUGCGACAAUAUUAAAGGACUAUUUUAAAUGCAAUUGGGGGCUAAAUUGAAAGAAAUCUUGAAAAAAAGUCAAAAUUGACCAAAAAUAUAGAAUUUAAAAUGCAAGGACCAAAUUGGAAAAGCAAAAUAAAAAAAAGCAUCAAUAAAACGAUGUGUUUCACAAAAUAAAAAGUCUUAAAAAGCCAAAACAACAUCGUUUUGGAAAAGCUAAAACAACCCCUUAUUCUCCAUCAUGCAUGUAUGGCGCCUUCACAUUUUGUUUUCUUCCUUAUUUUUGCAUGUUUUGGUUGGACCCUUGGACAACUCUCUCUCUCUCUCUCUAUCGCCUCCCAUAAAUUCCAAUAAACACACCCAUCACCUCACAUGCAUAUAUAAUUCAUUAUAAACCCAAAACUUAUUACAUUAUCCCUUUGAAAUGGCUCAAAAAGCAGUGCAAAGUGCCCAAACCAAUCAUGUGUGUACAAAAUGUACACCAAAGGUAAAGGGUCAAAAUCAUCCCAAGAAAACCAAGGGACAUGAUUGUUCCACCUAGAAAGGUUCUAGGACCUUCCUUCGUGUCUUUAAAUAUAGAGGCAUAGUAAGAAAGAAAAAAAAAACGAGCUAAUUUAGAAAGAGAAUGUCAAAAUAUGAGAAGAGAAAGUUUGAGCUGAGGGAAAUAAGCUAGAAGGUGAGGGAAGAAAUGAGAAAAGAGAAAGAAAAGCAGAAAAAGAGAAAACCAACCUUAAACCUCAUAAAACCUGAAAAUAGUAAAAAGAAAAUGUGGUCUUUUGGGUCUGAAACUGGUUUGUUUUGAACUAGAGAGCUUCAAAAGAAAAAGUGGAAGAAUAUAUGAAGAAAAAAGAAGAGGAUAAGAUGUUAAAACUAAAUAGAAAAUGGUACAUAAAGCCAGAGAAAGAAAAUUAUCAAAAACACCUCACCACAACCACCCAACCACCAUUAUUGCCACUAUAAGCCACCACAACACCUCCCAAUUCAUCUAGAAUCACCUUUGAGGUAAGUCAUAACCUUUCUUCCCUCUUUUUCUUUCCCUAGUGUUUUGCUUAAGAUAGUUUCUUAUAUGUAGAAACAUAUGUUUUUAGGGUUUAGUUGGGUUUAAUCUAGAUUUUGUAUGCUUUUGAUUAAAAGAAAUAUAAAAAUUAGAUGUUAAAUAUGUGUUUUUUAUUUUCUUAGAAAAUAAUGCAAAAUAAAAAUUUAAAAUUUAUUAGGGUUUACUUGUGUUGGAAUCUAAUGUUUGUCUAUUUUUAAUGAUAAAUAUGACCAGUUAUGAUUUUUCUUGCUUGCUUAGAAGAUGAUGAAUGAAUGAAAAACUUGAAAAAAAAUUUAGGAUUUAGUUUUCUUUUUACCUAGGGUUUGUUGGUUGAGAAAAAAUUAGUUUGAUUGGAAUUUCACAUUUUAACUUUCUUUAGGUUAAUAUUAGGCUUUAUUGAACUUGAAUUCAUUGUUGUUAAUAAUAAAUCCAUGAAAUCUUCUCUUUUUAGGGACUAACGUCAAAAAUUAUCAUUCAAAAAUAAAAAAAAAAUACAGUGAAAUCUCCUAUUUUAGGUAUUAACAUCAAAACUUUUUUAAAAAAUAAAACAAAUUGAUGAAAUCUUCUAUUUUUAAGGAUUCACAUAAAACAUUUUCUUUCAAAAUAAAAAAAUUAAAGAAAUCUCUUAUUUUUAUGGAUUGACGUCAAACUUUAUGAUAAGUAGGCUUAUAGAUAAAUUUAUGUAAUUAAUAGUUUGCUAGAAUAAAUUUAGGAGGAAACACAUAACAAAGAUGACCUUUUAUUUGAAAGGAUGUGAUAAAAGUUAUGUCGAUCUUUCCUUAGACAUAAAUAACUCAUUAUCUGAAUUUUUUAGACCAAUGAUUAUUUUAGGAUUCAUAGUUUCUUUUAAUUACUAGGUGGCAACUCCAUUAUUUUUAUUUUCCUUUUAAUUUUGAAGAGUUUUGUAUUUGUCAUGGUGUGACAACCUUAAACAAUUACAAGUGUGCUUUUACAUGUUUUUUAGACUAAUUAUGUUGAUGACAAUGUUAUGUUGUAAAAUUAUGUCAAGAUUACACAAAUAUUCUUAUAAUGUGUAUAUUGAAAAAAUGAGAAAUAUAGAGAUAAAAAAAAAAUGAGAAAUAUAGAGAUAAAAGAAAUAUCUAAUCUAAGUGAUUUGGUUAAAUUUACUAGGACAAAAAUGGAUCAAAAUUCUAGUAUAUCAAAUACGACGAAUGCAAAGCACAAAUAUAUUGAAUUCAAACUCCAAACCCCAAAUUCUAUAUGCUCCUAAGAUACUUGCAAAGAUCAAUCACACAAAAAGCAUUAAGAAAAACAUACAAAUCUUGAUGGAUAACAACUCAAAUAUAGAAGGAAUAAUUCCUAAAAGCUCUUUAAUCCCAAAGUUCAAAGAUACCUUUGCAAAUAAGUUGAGUCAAGUCAAGCAUAUAUCAAGUUUCGCUCAUUUAGAUUGCUUAAUGAAAUGAAAAACAAGCUAGGUUGUUAUAAUCUAAACUAAUUCUUUUUUUAUAAAAUAUAAAAAAAUCAAACAUGAUAAAAUAUACAAAAAUAAAUAUAAAACUUUUUUAUAUCCCGAGGUUAUAUUUUUUCCUAACUUAUCAUAACUAUAUUCCAAUUAAAUAAUAAUAUAUUUGAAGCUUACUUAUAAGCCUAAUUCACAAGUUUAAUUGAGCUGAUUUACAAGUUUUAAUAAGGCAAACUUAGCUAAGUUGAAGCUUGGCUCAUUUAUAUAACAAACUUUAAAAAUAAGCUUACAUAAACUCAUUAUUCCUUCACAAAUAAGUUUGAAUCAAGUUAUUAAUGAAUAGAGUUUCGACCAGCUUGACUCAUUUGCAGACCUUGUUCACAAGUCUAAUUGAGCUCACUUGUAAGAUUUAAUGAGACAAACUUAGCUAAUUUAGAAGCUCAACUCAUUUAUAUAACAAGCUUUAAAAAUAGACUUGCAUAAGCUCAAUAUAUAUUCAUAAAUAAGUUUGAACCAAGCUAUCAAUGAAUAGAGUUUCGAGUAGCGUGACUAACUUACAGACCUAUUUAAAAUCUCACAAUCUCCUUUAAAGAAAACAAAAAAAAACAAAAAAGAGCUCUUUCAAUUUUGAUGGUAACAACUUUGUUUUAACCUAGAAUGUCUUCAUCUCAUUCUAUUAUCCUUGAAAUUGAUCUAACACAAAAGGAUAGUAACUUUAAUCAUGUGAUCAAAUGACCAAGUUGCAUGGGAAUUGUUAAGGUAUGUGUGGGAUAUAUCAAAAGUUAUAUAACCUCCCAUAUAAUACAAGAGUCAUCAUAAUAUUCUUUAUCUUGAUUUAAAUUGAACCAAGUAUGAAAAAUGAUAGUACAAAUAUUUCUUCAUCUUCUUUUUCUUAAAAAAAUUAAGGGUAUUCAACUAUGGCAACCAUUAAGCAAGUUCAAGUUGUGAUAGAACUUGACAUCAAAAAGGGACUUCCUUAACAAAAUAAGUCGAUCAUCCAACAUUCUAUAUAAUUAACAUAAAAUAUCAAAUUUUACUUAUCAAAUGCACCAAUAAUGCAUAAUUCUAUUUUUCUUGAACUUUGAUACAUAAAAUAUCAAAUUUAUCAAAAAAAAAAAACAUCUCUUUUCCAUAUGCCUUGACCAUAUAUGUCAUAACCUAUUAAUUUUAGGGAUUUUUUAGAAGAAGAAACAACCAUUGCAUAUAAAAUAAGAUAAUCAUAGAAGACAUAAAGUUUUUCAGCCUGCUUUGCUUAUAUUGCAAUAAAGGGUCUUUAAUAAAUCUCAAACUCUAUCUGUAAUAGAGUACUUAAAUAAAAGCUAGGAAAAGUAUUUUUUAUUAAUUAUAAAUAUGUUGAACAAUGCACAAACUUCUCACCACAUCAUAUAUCAUUUAUUUUGACUCAAAUAAUUCCUACCUUACUUCAUAAAUUAAAUUAUUAGGUUUCAUAACUUCACCUCCAUUGACCUCGUAUAUGGAGAACCAAUCCAUGUUAAAAAAAAAAAAAAUAGGAACAAGAAGAAUUCAUAAUCGAAUCAUCUUGCAGUUUUGUAUUAUCAUUUAUAACGAUCACACAUUUAAACCCAUUAUGAGCAAUCACCAAAACAUUAGCCUCUUAAGAGUUUUCAAACCAUUUUCCUUUAUUCAUUAUCCAAUUUUCUUUUAACCUCGAACAUUUUUUUUCUAAAUAUAUGUUCUUUUUUGUUACAAUAAUUAAAAGUUAUAUUUUUAAUAUCCAAGUCUUAUUAUACUUGUAUUAUUAUUAUCAAAGUCUCUUUUUGAAAACCUAUCUCUACCAACCAAAGUUUUGUGGAAGUAUCAUUAAUAUAACCAUUAACAUAAGUAUCAAUUUUUGUUUGGAUGGUAAGGUCAUUUUGACCUCAUUAACAAAAAUGAUGAUUUUAUGAAAAAAGAAAGAUCUCUCAAAUGUAUUUAUAUGAGAUGUUGAUAAGGAACAUAAAAACAUAAAAUUUCAUUUUUCUCUUUAAUCAAACAUCAAUAGACAUCAAAUUCAUAACAAUAAAACAAUUUAUCAAGAUGAGUCAUUGUUGAUGCAUCUUUUAUCAUCCAUAACACAUACAAAAAAUUAUUCAAAUACAAGAUAUUCAUAAGAAAUUUUAUAUCAUCUAUAAAGGCUUUAACUUAGUAGUUUUUUUUUGUUGACCUCAUCAAAUAAACAAGAGCAUUAAGUUACUAAAUUCUUUUCGUCUAUAUCUUUCUUUUGAUCAUCUAUCACCUAUCACCUAUACGAAUAUUUUCAAGUUAACCAACAUAUCUUUUAUAACCGUUACUUUAUCAUAAUGGCACAUAACUCCACUUGUUAUAAACUAAAACUAUAGGUAUUGUACUACUCAAUCAGCAUACGAGUCUUUUGAACUAAAAAAAAUGAAUUCACCAUUUGGUAUUAAAGGAUUAAGAAAUCCAAAAAUGCAUUGGUGUUUUUCCAUAGAAAAUGGAUAGUGAUUUGGGAAUUAUACCUAAAGAAAGAUUGCAAUCAUCCAAGUACUUGUUUUCCAAUUUAAAAGUUCCAAUUAUGCAUACCAUUAUUUACCCAAUUAUUUUCUAAUUUUAUAUUAGGGUUAUUUUUUGACCAAACAUAAAGUCUAUUUAAGAUUUGAUUUUUGAGAUAAAUAUAGAAUGAACUCUCACAUUUGCUUUAUGUCAUUGGAACAUAAAUCGAGCAACGUAUAGAAUAUCUUAAGCUUAGAAGUGUGUUUCGGAUUUUAAAGAUCAAGUUCAUUUAUUAGGUGUUUUAGGGUUUUAAGCGCUACUUAGCUUUAUAGGCUUUUUUUUAUAAGAUGUUCACCACAUUGUCAAUCACAUGAACUCCUAAAAAAGUAUAAAAUUUAUAAAAAUCUUGUGAUGCUACAACUUUAUAGGAUUUGCAAAUACAUAUAUGAAAAAUAUAAAUUUGAUAAAAAUUAUAAUGGAAUCUCAUGUAGUUCAUGUUGAAUCCUAAAAUUAAAAAUUAUAUCAACUUAGAAUCCGAUCCAUUCACAAUUUCUCAUAUGAGCACAUAUGUGGAAAAUAUGGCAAAACACAUGCAAACAUUCACAAAGAUGCAAACCAUGGCAAGCAAGAUUACUAUAACAAGAAAAUAUGUAAUUGUAUAUAGUGUGCUAUUUUAUACAAGAUUUAUUGUGGAAUCAUGUAAAAAAGAAAAUCUUUUUCACUUAAUAUUGAAUCCAGUUUCCACUCCCAAUAUGAAUAACAAGCUUGGAAAAACAUGAUGAGCAAAAAUGGGACAAGAAAUUUAAAUUCACUCUCAAACACACUAUAAUUCAAGUCAAUCAAGCAGGAAAACUAAAAGUUCAAUUAAUUCAAGUAAAAUAAUGUAACGUACAUACAAGGUUAAUUAAUUCGACUUGUUGGAAUAAAUAGAAAAUGAGUUUCUCAAGCUGAUAUGGCAUGUGAUUCUAUAAGUUUAUUAGGGUAACUCAGUAGUAUUAUUAAUUUAAAAAAAUUUAGAAUGUACGGCUUGGUGUGUUAUUAAGUUUUGAUCCUACAAUCACCUAGAGGCACCCUCUCGAGUUCACCUCAUUAUUAAUCUCCGAGUAAAAUUAUAAAAGAUACGGUAAAAACAAUUGUUGGUACUUAUUGCUUCCAACAAGUCGAAUUAAUAAAGUCUCACAACUUUACUAAACACUCAAUCGUCAUACAUUUUUCUUGUAAUAAAAACUAGUCGCCAAUAACAACAAAUCACGUAAGACACACACAAACACACACAUUUAAGAAAACAAUUGAGGCUACGGGCUAUUUAAUUAGCCACAACCAUUUAAGAAUGAAAAGAAAAGAAAAGAAAUAGAGAGAAAUAGUAACUAGGUGAUCUGUGAUACGUCAUGGGUUGGGUCAAAUUUUUUCUAAUAUAAAAAAUAAUGUCAAGGUGAUGAUAAUCUAAGUCAAUUCGGGUUAACUUUACUAACACACGACCUGAGAUAUGAGAUCGAUACAACAAGUAGAAAGGAAAGAGAAAAAAAUAUUUGCAAAACUCAAGACCCAAUAAUCUAAUGUUAAAUGAUGAAACAAAAAAAUUAAAAAAAAUUAUGUCGAAGAAAAACCUUGAUUCAACCGGGGUUAACUUGACAACCAACCGCCCGCAAUAUAAAAUCAAAAUAAAAAAUUAGACUAUUAAAAGAAAGAUAUAACAAAAAAGACAAAAGUUCAAUAAAACAACAUUGAAAAAAACUCAAGCUAAUUUAGGUUAACUUGACUAAUCUGAUGUAAACCCCAGUACUAAAGAAUAUGAUUAGAUUUAAUAUUCGUUAAAUAGAUUCUAAGAAGAAAAGGCCAAUAAUAAGAGAGUUAAUGGGUUUGUAAAACCAAAGAAUGACCAAGAGGAUGAGAAAGUAAAUAGACCCGUAAAUGCUUAGAAAUUUUGUUAGCAAAUAUAUGGUCAUUUAGAAAUUUGAAAAUAAGUUCAAUUAAAAAGAGAAAGUGAUAAUAAAGGGAAUGGCUAAGCUAAAAUACAUUAAAUGAGACUUAAGAGAACAAGGAGUGAUAUAUAAAGGUAUGACAAAAAGAGGUACAAGGAUAAAGAUCACACAAGAGGAGGGACCAAAGUGGCAAAUAAUAUUCAAAUAAAACAAGUCAGCCCCCUUAUUUUUCAAAGGAAGGCUGAUGGUUAGGAAGGAGGAAAACACCUUUUCCUUCAUCUUCUCUUUAAAACCCUCAUUACCAAAACCUUGCAUGCACCUUUUGUACUUAAAAAAUAUAGAGAGAGAGAGGGGGAGGGAAGGAGAGAUAAACAAGAGAGUUAGACUUGUAGGCCUAAAAUAGGAGAAGAAAAAACCACCGUAGGGAGGAAGAAAGAAGAAAAAGCCAUGAGAGAGGAAGAAGUUUGGAGUUGGAAAAUCAAAGAGGAAAAGAGUCUUGAACAUAUACAAGAGAUUUAAAGACAUUCUUAGUAAGUAUUCAAGUAAAGCCCCAAAUUCUCAAGUAGGGGUACUUGAACAACCUUGAAGAGAUUGAGAAAUUAAGACCAAAUAAGUAGAGUAGAGAUGAAAUAUAUAAGAAAUGUGAAACAAGUGCUGAAAAUGAUGAAUAAAAAUGGACAUUUUAGAAACCUUAGGGUUCGACCAAAAAGGGAAAAUUAGGGGAAAGUUUUUUUAAAAUGAAUUGUGUACUUAUAUGGUUAUAAUUGGUGUUAUUAUACAAAAGUCUAAUGAUUUCUUUUGUUAAAAUGAAUGUUUAAAGAUUUCCUUAAAUUUAAUUUUUUAUAUGGACAUGCUUGAAAGGAUGAGUAGAAUUACAUAGAACAAACUAUACCAUGUUAUGUGAGCUUGCUUAUAUGCAAGUAGAGAAGGAAUUUUAUGAAGAAAAAAAAUGGAGUUUAAGGACUAUAACGUUUUGACCAAGUAAGCAAGUCCUAAAGGAAAAUCUUCAAAAUUCAAUUUUUUUUUUCAUGUAUGUUGAGGAGAUAGACCUUUUAACAUAGUUGUGGUGAUUCCUUGAUGAAAUGGGCAAUCUAGAGACAUGGUAGGUUUGAAUUUUUGGAUUGAUCACUACCAGAAAAUUGUCAAAUACAAACGGAAACACUGACAAAAAAUUCCAUUGGUAUGUCGCGAUGACCUUUACCGACAUAAUUUUUCAUCCCUGUAUCCAUUGGUAAAUACUGAUAGAAAAUUCCAUCGGUAUAUACUGAGGGAAUGACAACGGAAUUACAAUGGGAUUCAAAAAGGCAAAUCGUACGGUGAUGUGAUAUUUUUACCAAUAGAAUGAUCGAUGGAUUUACUAACAGUAUAAUUUUGUUGGUAAUACCGUCAAUGAUAUUUAAUUUAUGACCUGGUAAUUGACCCUCCUCUCCCCAUCUCCCCCUCCCCCAUUUCUCCUUCUUCCUUAUGCAUUUUUUCUGCAACAAACAGUCACCCCUCGCCCAUUCUCAACACAAUUCAACCUCCCACAACAAAUCCAACCACCAGAACACUCAAUUUGUCAGCAUCUGUAUUCUGAUUCAAAUUUUAUUGAGCAUUCUCCACUUUAAGUACGUAAAUCUACCCUUUUCUUAACUCAAUUUUAAAAUGUUGAUUUUUUUCAUAUUUUUUAGUAUAUUUAUUUUAUUUGGGUGUUUACUUGUUUUAUAGUAUUUUCUCAUAUAAGUUUGUUGUAUGGAUUUGCGAUUUGUACAUCUUAGAGUUUGUUUUAGAUUUUAUAAAAUUAUAUAUGUAUGUAAAUUGAUGAAACUUAUGUCGAAUUUCUUAACUCAAAUUUAAAAUAUUUAUUUUUUAUAUAUAUUUUUAGUAUAUUUAUUUUAUUUAGGUGUUUACUUGUUUUAUAGUAUUUUCUCAUAUAAGUUUGUUGAAUGGAUUUGCGAUUUGUACAUCUUAGAGUUUGUUUUAGUUUUUGUAAAGUUAUAUAUGUAUGUAAAUUGAUGAAACUUAUGUCGAAUUUCUGACUUGGAAAAGAAUUAUUGCAAAUGUCACUAUUAUUGAUGGGGGUUACUGACAGAAUUAGACCGUUGGUAAAUUGCAAAAAGUUAGAAAAGAAUUACUGCAAAUGUCAUUGUUACUAUUAAUGCACCGACAAAAUUACAUAUGGUAUUUAGUCAGUGAUAUGUUAUAUUUGCCGAUGGAUAUACCAAUGAAAUAAAAAGGGUAAUUUUUUUUUGCGCCUUUGUCAGUCUUUAAAUCCAUCGGUUUAUUUAUUAUCGACAGACUAACCGAUAGUCCAUAAAUUACCAACAAGAAUUUUUUCGACGGAUUGUUUCUGUCCAUAAGUUCAUCGGUAACAUAUGAACGGACUGCUAGUGUAAAUACCAACAGGAAUUUCCAUUGGUCAAACUGUUAAAUUUGAUAGUGAUUUAUGAUGAUUAUUAUUGAAUGUAGAGUAAAUUUUACUACGAUAUGUAAAUAUGAGAAGCAUGUUAGAUUUAGUGAGAAAUUUGAAAGAAAAUAUCUAGAAAAAUAGGAGAUGAGAUUUUAGCCAUGUGAGAAGAAAUGAAUGUGAUACUUUCCACCAGGAUAAAACUAGAAUACAUGUGUGUAAUUUAACUUAUUAUUCAUGAAUAUGAGUGUUUAUCCUAAAAAUCAUUACUUGUAUAAGUCAAGUUAUAGAAAAUCAAGUAAAUUAAUAUUUAGAGAAACCUUGAAAUGGAAUAAAAAUGUAGAAUGGUGUAUGCUUAAUGAAAAAUGAUGAAAUGGACACUAAGAGAGAAUGGCCUAAAAUUCGACCACCCAAGAAAUAGGGAAGAAAAUGAACUUUUUCAUGGUGUAAUUAAUGUUAGGCAUGGGAGGAAAACUUGAAAUUAAAUGAGUGAAUUAAGUUCAUGUAGGAAAUGGUGAACGUAAAGAGAGUUGGAAAAGUGAUACAAUAAAUAAGGUGUUAUGGUGGGUGAUAUAAUAAUAUAAAUGCACGAAAUAGUUUCUAGAAAGUACCUAGAAAGAAGUUUAUAUGCGUGUGUAUGCUUGUAUAGGUUUCAGCCAAAUGAAAUUUUUAGGGAGAAAAUGUUCCAAAAAGUACAAAGUUGGUGGGGGGUAAAAAAGAUUGGAAAUAAAAAGAAUAAAAUCCCUCAAACAAGGUGAGAAAUUGAAGAGAUAUUGUAUGAAACAUAAACUAAAAGUACAAGAAGAACAUUACAAAGCAACGGAAAUGAAUGAGUUGUAAAAACACAUAGUUAUGUACAUUGGUAUAAACUAAAUAUUAUGGUAAAAAUGGUUUUAAAUGGUAUAUUGACUUAAACACUCUUUAUGAAUCAAGGGGAACACCAGGGACUAGAUCGUCGAUUGAAGGAGAUCACACCAUUAGAAGAGCAGUUAGGCUUUCUUUUCCUAUGCUUUUACUUUAAUUUGACAAAGUCUUUUAAUUUAGAUCAUGAUUAUUAUAAAUUUUUUAUGGAUAUUAUUUUAAUUUCAUAGAACUCGAUGAAAAAAAAUAAAAGACUAGUGUGUUGUUGGUUCCAAGUGGGGGAACUCAUUGUGUUGUUGUUUUCAAGAAGAGAAAAACUGUUGUGUUGUUGGUUCCAAGUGGUAGAACACAACGUGUUGUUAUUUCUUAAAAGAGAAAAAUCAUUGUGUUGUUCGUUCCAAGUGGUGGAAUCCAAUAUGUUGUUGUUUCCAAAAGGAUGGAAACAUUAUGUUAUUGGUUCCAAGUGUUGGGACUCAUUGUCAUGUUGUUUCAUAAAUUAUGGAAACCGCUAUGGUUGGUUCCAAGUGGUGGAACCCAUUGUGUUGUUGUUUUCAAAAGGAUGAAAAUCAUUGUGUUGUCAAUUCCAAGUGUUGGAACCUAUUCGGCUAUUGCUUCAAAUGGAUAAGGAGUUAUAAUGUUAUUGUUCAUAGAUAAAUGAGGACGAUUGUAUAUGUCUUCACCACAAAUGGAUGUCGUGGGUUUGAAAAUGAUUCAAGUCUAUAAGAAUUUGACCUGUGUUUUGUCAUAUUACAAGAGCAUAUUAUGACAUCUUAAAGUGUAUAAAAUGUAAGAGGUUAUGUAAAUUUUAAUUUGGUGGUGGUGUGUGUGUGCAUCUGAAUCAUGGCAGUGCAAUCAGACUUUGACGUUGAAGAGUUCGGUUGAAUCGAACGCUGAGGAUGCAUUCUUUGAUCAAGUGGUAGCGCUGCCCUGUGCAGGCUUAUUUCUGCUGGCAAAUGCCAAGAAGAAUGCCAUAUAUGUUGUACACUUGGAAUAUGGGCCUUAUCCUGCUGCAACCCGCAUGGAUUACAUAGCUGAGUUUACAGUUACAAUGCCUAUUUUGAGUCUUACUGGAACUAGUGAUAGUUUACCAAAUGGAGAACAUAUUGUUCAGGUUUACUGUGUGCAAACACAAGCUAUUCAACAAUAUGCGUUGAACUUGUCUCAAUGCCUUCCACCACCUCUGGAGAACAUGGAGUUGGAGAGAACAGAAUCUAAUGUUUCUCAUGCUUUCGAUGCUUCUAAUUCUGAUGGUUCCACUAUUAUGGAAUCUUCUCAUAGAAGUAAACCCACUUAUAUGUCUGCAGGUAACAUCGCUUCCAUACCACCAAUCAUCCAGAAAGCUUAUGUUCUUCUUAAAGAGUAUUAAAAAUACUUAGAAGUUUACAGUGUAAUUCUCAACAUAAUAUUAUUGAUGCUCAGCCUAUAAUUAUAUACAGAGGAUUACAACGAUUACAUAUUCUAUUAAGGAAAGAUUACAGCAAUCAAAAGCUAUUUAUGGACAGAAUAUUUGUAUUAAUUCACAAGCAUGAUUGUAGACUUGGUGCUGUAAGUCAGCAGCGGAUUUCCUUCAUAGUGAUGCUGCAAUCACUUGCAGAUUUCAUGCAUCUGCAGAUUUUCAGCAUCUUCCUUAAUAUGCCCCCGCAAAAUUGAACUUCCAUCAGCAAGUCCAAUUUUGGCUCGUAAUAAUUCAGUUCGUGUCCGAGACAGUGGCUUUGUUAAUAGAUCUGCAAGUUGGUCUUGAGUGUGGACGUGGCGCACAUGAAGAAUACCCUUCUGAACUUGAUCACGCACAAAAUGAAGAUCAAUUUGGAUAUGCUUCAUUCGUGAGUGCUGAACCGGAUUGAAACUAAGGUGAGUUGCACCAAGAUUGUCACACAAUAGAGAAGGUGGCACUGUCAAUGGAAAUCCAAGUUCAUGAAAAAGGGCAAGAAGCCAUAGUGUUUCUGAAGCGCCAUUAGCAAGUGCGCGAUAUUCAGCUUCCGUAGAGGAUCGAGCAACAGCCCUCUGUUUUUUCGAACUCCAGGAGAUAGGGUUGCAGCCAAGAAACGUAAUGUAAGCCGAUGUAGACGUGCGAUCAUUAAUGUUACCAGCCCAGUCAGCAUCACUAUAAGUUGUUAAACUCGGUGCAGCAGCUUUCCGGAUAUGAAUGCCAUGAAAAAUUGUUCGCUUGAGAUAGCGAAGAAGCCUCUUGGUGGCAGCCCAAUGAGUGACCGUGGGCUUGUGCAUAAAUUGAGACAGUUUAUUGACUGCAAAACAGAUGUUCGGACGAGUUAAGGAGAGGUAUUGCAGGCUGCCAAUAAUACGCCUAUACUCGGUGCUAUCCACUGAUGCUGUUCCAUCCAGGAGAUGAAGAGAUUGAGUAGUGGACAAAGGGGUGGAGAUGUCCUUGGCACCAGCCAUGUUUUGAGUCUCCAAGAUGAAAUAAACCUGCAUGUGUAGGAAUGACUUCAACUCCCAAGAAGUAGUGAAGUGAGCCCAUAUCCUUCAAGGAAAACCGAGUACCGAGAGCAGUAACAACAUGUCCUACAAACUGAGAAUCACUGCCUGUAAUCACCAAAUCGUCAACAUAAACAAGCACAUAACAAGUAACUGAGUUAUGACGAUAGAUAAACAGUGAGGAAUCAGCUGUAGAAUUCUGAAAACCAAGUUGCAAAAGUGAAGAUCGCAAGGCCGAAUACCACGCCCUAGGAGCCUGUUUGAGACCAUAGAUGGCUUUCUUUAAUCUGCAUACAUAAUCAGGUUUGGAUAGAUCUUUAAAACCCGGAGGCUGCAACAUAUAAACAGUUUCAGACAACAUGCCAUGUAAGAAAGCAUUAUUGACAUCCAUUUGUCUCAAGCACCACCCAUUCAUAACAGCAAUGUUCAACACAGUUCUAAUGGUUGCUGGUUUAACAACCGGGCUAAAGGUUUCUUUAUAAUCAACUCCAGGACGCUGAUUGUAACCCAUUGCAACAAGCCGGGCUUUGAAUUUUUCAACCGAGCCAUCUGCCUUGCGUUUGAUUCGAAAAACCCACUUACAACCUACGGGCUUACAGUCUUUGGGAGGAGGAAUUAAAUCCCAUGUACCAUGACUCAUAAGGGCUGUUAACUCACUAGACAUGGCUGCACGCCAUUCAGGAUGAGAUACGGCUUGGCUCACACAAGUUGGUUCCAGGGAAGGGGGAAGGGAAUGCUUGGACACAGUGUUCAAUUGUUUAGGUUUGAAAAUAUUGUUCAUCGAUCGAGUGGUCAUGGAGUGAUUAUGGGGUGGAAUACUGUCAAUUGAUGCUGAACAUGGCAAGGGGACAGUAGAUGCAGGGAAAACAUGUGAAGUAGAGGGGAGAUGCUCAUGAUGCAGAUUAUCAAUUGACUCAGAAAUAGAAGGCGAGUGAGAUGGAGAAAUACCUGGAGAUGACGCGGAGGAGGCAGUAACAGCGUCCAAACUUGUUGAUGAUUCCAAUGGUGGAGUGGAGAUCGGCGAAGAUAUCGUAGGAACGAGAGGAGCAGGAGCGAUUACAGGGCAUGUAAUGGGUUUGAGAAACUGAUGGGUAUGGUUGGGCGGGCGGGUGGAUGAUAAGUGGCCGGGUGGGUGAUUUUUUGAUACUAGACUUUGAGAUUCAUCGAACAGUACGUGUUUGGACACAUAAAUUCGAGCAGUUAAGGGAUCAAUGCAUUUGUAAGCAUUUUGGGUUGGUGAGUAUCCUAUAAAAACACAGGGAGUGGACUUAGGCUGUAACUUAUGGGUGUUAUAUGGCUUGGUGAGAGGAUAGCAUAAACAUCCAAAUUUCUGUAAUUUGAGAUAAUUUGGUUGUUGAUGAAAAAGAACUUCAAAUGGGGAUUUAUUUUGAAGAAGAGGAGUGGGUUGACGAUUUAUGAGAUAAGCGGCAGUUUGAAAAGCAUGAGGCCAAUAAGAGAGAGAUAAGGAGGCAUCAUGAAGCAAGGUGAGACCUGUUUCAACAAGAUGACGAUGACGUCUUUCAGUAACACCAUUUUGUUGGGGAGUGUGGGGAGCAGUAGUGUAAUGACUUAUACCAUGAUUGGACAAGUAAGGUUUUAACUUUAGAAAUUCACCACCAUUAUCUGAGUACAAAGCUUUGAUGGUGGAUUGAAAUCUUUUUUCCACCAGCAUUUUGAAUUGGGGAAAGAUACUAGACACCUGUGAUUUUGCAGACAUUGGAUAGAACCACAUAUAUUUGGUAUAAUGGUCCACGAAAAAAAGAUAAUACCGUGCACCACAAACCCCAGUAAUGUGAGCAGGACCCCAAACAUCAGUGUAUACAAUGUCAAGUGGAGAGUGACUUUGAAAACUUGUUGAUCCAAAAGGUUGUUUAUGCGCUUUAUUUGUGGAACAGGAAGUACAUAAAGAUGAAAUUUUUUUUGUUGAAACAGGAAGGGAUAAUUGAUUGACAAGAUGUUGAACAAUUUUAAUGGAAGGGUGUCCAAGUCGUUUGUGCCACCCAUCAAGUGAAGUUCGUUCAUGCACAUAAGCAACUUUUUUUGGAGUGGGAGAAGCCACCAAGGAGUCUGGAAACAUGUAUACGUCAUUCUCACACGCACCUCUUAGAAGUAUUGCCCCCGUGGUUUUGUCCUUCACAAGAAAAAAAAAUGGGUGAAGUUCAAGAAAAACAUUAUUAUGUUUAGUGAAGUGAUGAACUGAAAUGAGAUUCUUAUGAAUAUGAGGAACACAUAAGGUAUCAUGUAAAUGAAACGUUUUGGUAGGUGUGGGUAAAGCUAAGGAACCAAUAUGUGUAACUGCCAAACCUGUACCAUCACCAAGAAGAACCUCAUCAGUGCCGUCAUAUUCAGAGUGAACAGAUAGGUUUUGGAGAUCACCCGUGAUGUUAUGAGAGGCUGCAGAAUCAAUUAACCACUUAUUAUCUUGAGUAUCCGAGGAUGCAGCACAAUUAACAGACAUUGUAGAGGAUUGAAGUUUCGGGCAGAUCUUGGCUGUGUGACCCAAUUGGUCACAAUAUUGACAUUUUUGCUGAAAACGCCGGUUUGGAUUGGGACGGCCUGAAUUAUUAUUGUUGCGCUGGCGGUCUCUAAAUGAGCUAUUUGAGGAGCGGUUUUGUCCUGGUUGGCGAAAAAAACAUUUCCUCUGUUGCUUCCCCUGUUUUGCUGAGAUGAAGCGGUGACUGGUAAAGUUUGCAGCAGCCACGAGCUGCUGUGUAGCAGCCUCCAGCCUCCUUAAGUAACUCUCAUGCCCAACAAGCAUAUCAUGGAGUUCUUCAAAGGCAAGAGAUUUUUCUCGUGCUCGAAUAGGAGCAGCAAUCUCACGAAAUUCUGGACCUAACCCAUGAAGGACAUAGAGGGUUAAGUCAUCAUCAGAGAUGGGGUGAUCAAUAAGUGCAAUUUCAUCAGCCAAGCUUUUGACCGUAUGAAGAUACUCUGAAAUCGGUUGAUUUCCACGCUGGAUCAAGGUUAGUUCUUCCUUGAGUUGCAUUGCCCUUGUACGCGAUUUACUUGCAUACAGUGUUGAUAAUUUUUUCCAUGCCUCGUGUGAGGUUUUGGUUGUGGCAAUGAGAGGCGUGAUGGAGGGUGAAGUGGAUGCAAGAAUGGCGCUGAGAAUAAGCUUGUCUUGCCUUACCCACCUAUUUUUUUUUGCUACAGACUGUGGAGUACCAUCUGAGGGAGGGCACUGAGAUUCUCCAUUAACAUAGUUUAGGAGAUCAUAGCCAAUGAGAAGAGCCUCAAAUUGUGCUCGCCAUUGAGGAAAGGAUGAGGGUGUGAGUUUCUCAUUGAUUUGAGUGGUGAUGUUGAAAACAACAAGGGAAAGUUCAGGGGAGGAGGUAGGCAGAUUUGUGGAAGACAUGGGGAUGAAAUUCUCGUUAGAGAGACGCGGCUCUGAUACCAUAAAGAGUAUUAAAAAUACUUAGAAGUUUACAGUGUAAUUCUCAACAUAAUAUUAUUGAUGCUCAGCCUAUAAUUAUAUACAGAGGAUUACAACGAUUACAUAUUCUAUUAAGGAAAGAUUACAGCAAUCAAAAGCUAUUUAUGGAUAGAAUAUUUGUAUUAAUUCACAAGCAUGAUUGUAGACUUGGUGUUGUAAGUCAGCAGCGGAUUUCCUUCAUAGUGAUGCUGCAAUCACUUGCAGAUUUCAUGCAUCUGCAGAUUUUCAGCAUCUUCCUUAAUACUUCUGAUGUUAAUAGCUCACUAGAUAUAGCUUCUUCUGGGGGGCAAACCAAGGCUACUGCAUCACAUAAUAAUGCUGACAAUACCAACACUGUGCCACCCCUUCUACCGAUGAGUCCAAGGUUGCCUCGAAAGUUGUCAGGUCUCCAGAGUCUGUCAAAUAGCACAGAUACUAGUUUGCAGUUCAGUGAUCAUGCUGGUGACCAGUCUGUUCCAUAUUAUUUGGUGGACCGCAGAAUUGAAACUGUGAAGGAAAAUGCAAGUGAUACAUCCUCUGGUGAUAAUUUGAGUAAGGGUGAGAAGAAUGUCAAACAAACUGAUAUUGCAAUGGUUUCUGAAACUCCAAUAAUGUUUAAACAACCAACCCAUCUUAUAACUCCAUCGGAGAUAUUAUCCAGGGCCGUUUCUUCUGAAAAUUCCCAAACCACUCAGGGCCUGAAUGUCACAGAGGCAAAGAUUCAGGAUGUGCUUGUGAACAAUGAUAUUGAAAGUGCUGAAGUGGAGCUUAAAGUUGUUGGAGAGACAGGAACUGAUCAAAAUAAUGACUUUGACUUGCCCAGAGAAUCUCACACUGCUGUUGCAGAGAAGAAAGAGAAAUCCUUCUACUCUCAGGCCUCAGAUCUCGGCAUUCAGAUGGCAAGAGAUUGUUGUG